Molecule: ribosomal RNA, 264 nt
Filed under: uncultured archaeon
Lineage: Archaea
Description: partial 16S ribosomal RNA
Rfam family: Archaeal small subunit ribosomal RNA
Source: RNAcentral
UAGCCGUAAACGAUACUCGCUAGGUGUCGGCCACGGUGCGACCGUUGUCGGUGCCGUAGGGAAGCCGUGAAGCGAGCCACCUGGGAAGUACGGCCGCAAGGCUGAAACUUAAAGGAAUUGGCGGGGGAGGCACCACAACGGGUGGAGCUUGCGGUUUAAUUUGGAUUCAACGCCGGACAACUCACCAGGAGCGACGGUUACAUGAAGGCCAGGCUGAUGACCUUGCCUGAUUUUCCGUAGAGGAGGUGCAUGGCGUAGUCGUGU